Molecule: unclassified non-coding RNA, 269 nt
Filed under: Hevea brasiliensis (rubber tree)
Lineage: Eukaryota; Viridiplantae; Streptophyta; Magnoliopsida; Malpighiales; Euphorbiaceae
Source: RNAcentral
AGACUGAUAAGGGAUCCCACUGCCUCGGGGAGCACAGAUAGCAUGUUAGAGCUAAGAUCAACUUCCUCGAGAUGAGUUAACCUCGCUAAAGUCAAAGGCAAUGUCUUCAGGUUAUUGCCAUUUAGAUCUAGAUAGACCAAGUUAAGCAGAUCUCCUAUUGAAUCAGGAAGUUCAACAAUUUUAUUUCCAUGCAAAUCUAGUUUUUGCAACGAUGAAAGACCCCCGAUGGUAGUUGGCAACACAGCAAUUCGAUUCUCAGACAAAUCCAA